Molecule: unclassified non-coding RNA, 240 nt
Filed under: Hevea brasiliensis (rubber tree)
Lineage: Eukaryota; Viridiplantae; Streptophyta; Magnoliopsida; Malpighiales; Euphorbiaceae
Source: RNAcentral
GUUCUUCAAGCUCCUGAAUCCUAUGCUUCUCUGUUUCAAGCAAUUGCUCCAAAUCACUCACCUUUUUGCCAGAUUCCUCUACUUUCGAGUGAGAUACCAGCAUCAAAUCCUCUAAUUCACGGCUGCGUUGAUCAGUGGUGUUGGCCCGACCUUCAUGCUCAGCACACUUGUCAGCAACACUUUUAAGCUCAGCUUCAAGUUCUAAAUUACGAGCAGUUGAUUUGACCAACUCAGAAUCCA